Hyla sarda is the source of this 437-nucleotide long non-coding RNA. RefSeq lists it as uncharacterized. The transcript has 3 exons. Lineage: Eukaryota; Metazoa; Chordata; Amphibia; Anura; Hylidae. The record is from RefSeq and is a predicted model, not a curated record.
GUCUGUCGCCCGCUAAAGAAUUUUGUAGAGAUCUGCUGGAUGACACUUGGCUGACAUAGCUGAUCUGAUCCCAGGUACUGGUCAUUGGGAUAUCCCUCCUCCUGUCAUCCAUCCCAACAUGAACACUUAUCUGCGAUGGGAUCAGAACUUACCAUUUCAGCUGAAGAGAGGACAAAACCACAGACACAGAGGAGGCUGCCAUAGCUGCGGACCCCAUCCAUGGCUGUAACACCAAUCCCACUGGCAGGAAAACACCUAUUGAUGAGAAAGUAGCUCAGAUUAAUGAUGGCUUUGGUCCCUCAAGUUACAAUAUCAAUCGGUUCCAGGACGACCAUUGUAUGUUGAGACCAUUGUAUGUGGAGACCAGAACUCUAUGGAAACCUGGUAAUUGGUUCUGAAGCCACCAAAAUGUCAUCCAAAAAUAGGAAAAAAGUGAG